Molecule: ribosomal RNA, 119 nt
Filed under: Plasmodium billcollinsi
Lineage: Eukaryota; Apicomplexa; Aconoidasida; Haemosporida; Plasmodiidae
Source: RNAcentral
UGACUCGUUCAUACUACAGUGGCCACACCAGAUCCCAUCAGAACUCUGAAGUUAAGCACUGUAAGGCUUUGCUAGUACUGAGGUGGGAGACCGCUCGGGAACACCAGGUGAUGAGUCAU